GGGAGCGCCGGCUCCUGCCUCCCAUUCAUGUAACCUGUGUGUGUCUCUCUUUCUCUCUGUGUGUAACAGAGAGAGGGAGAGAGAGAGCGAGGAAAGGAGAGGAGGAGGAGGAGGGGGGAAGCUUUAAAUAAAGCCUUUGGAUUGCAGCUGCUUAUUUUGGGCAGUCCUACCAGGGACGAUUCCUGCCAGGAAAGAAGCUGGACCGGUCUCUUUUAUUUUGAUUUUGAUUUUUGGGGGUGGCGGUGGUGUAUUGCCGAGCUGCCUGCUGAGAUGAGCUCCGGUGCCUGGCCGUAGUAGCCCAGUUUGGGAUCGCUGGACACAUAAGUGGCAUUUCGGUGGGGAAGCCUGCAGACAUGUUCAGCUCGUGAAUCAAAAAGUGUAAUGAAGCCAGAGACUUGCAAAACUCCUUUAGUAGCAUAAACGAAUGAAUAUAACCGAGCUAACACUUGAAGCAAUGGCACAGUGGAUUUUUAAUGACCCGGAGAGGAGAACAAUGACCUCAAAUGCCGGUUGGGAGCACAACUUUAUUGUCGUUUUUUUAUUUCAG
This 547-nucleotide long non-coding RNA is filed under the name Anser brachyrhynchus (Pink-footed goose). Its description in RNAcentral is "lncRNA (ENSABRG00000004987.1)". The record is from RNAcentral. Lineage: Eukaryota; Metazoa; Chordata; Aves; Anseriformes; Anatidae.